This is a long non-coding RNA of Corticium candelabrum, 656 nucleotides long. RefSeq lists it as uncharacterized. NCBI's taxonomy places the organism in Eukaryota, Metazoa, Porifera, Homoscleromorpha, Homosclerophorida, Plakinidae. The record is from RefSeq and is a predicted model, not a curated record. The transcript has 3 exons.
CUAGAGCUGUUGCUGAGAAGGUAGGAAGGCAAGAAAAUGGGUGUCCGACGAUUGGGGCCGUUACUACGGGCGUUUGACCGACUGUAACUCAUACAGAUCUUGGCUGACAUGCAGGGCUGAAGGAUGCGUGUGUGCAAUAUAAACGCUACUGUCCGGUGAACGAUGCGUUUGUCCGAUGAACGGGGUAUACAAGGCUCCGCUCAGUUUUCAAUCUCAUUCUAGGCAGAGAAGAGGGACUGCGUUCAAAAACGGAUAACUGAGAACUCGCGUCCGGAAUAUGAUGGUGUCAGAGGAACGGCGCCGCGCUCUAGUGUAUGACUCACUGAAAUUUUCCUGUUGCUUGAUUUGGGGGACUAAUAUAGUAAAUUCAUCUGCCAGUAAACUUCCAAGGUCACAUCAAAACCACGAACUUAUUGUGCAACUGACCUUUGAUUCGUGUAUAGAGUUUGGAAUAGCCCUAUCCACAUUUGUGAGAAACUACUGCAAAUCAAAGUAUCUGAUCAGCUGGAUAUUAUAUUAACAAUAAUAAUCUGUUCAAUACUUAUACAGCAUGGUCAUCUCACAUCCCAACUAUCUGGGAACUGGCUGAACACAUGAUACAUUCUACCAUCUUUCAUGCAUUGGUUUACAGAGUACAUGUAUUGUUGUACUAUUUA